Molecule: long non-coding RNA, 1220 nt
Organism: Nicotiana attenuata
Lineage: Eukaryota; Viridiplantae; Streptophyta; Magnoliopsida; Solanales; Solanaceae
Exons: 2
Source: RefSeq, a predicted model, not a curated record
AAACAUUACUUCUCUCUUAUUUUUCAGCUCAAUUUCUCUUUGAUCUCUCUACUCUCUCCGCUUCUCUUCUCUCUGUCACUCAACCUCAUCGACCAAGGUGGUUUCCGGCGGGAAGGGACAAGAAUCAAGCUUCGAUUUUGGGUGUAAUCGUCUCUAUAGACCCAUCAAACACUGUAUCAAAGCUCAGAACGCGUCAAUUUUGGUAACAUGAGGAGGAAAUCAGUUGCUAAGAAGCAUAUUCAUUUGACAAAGCCUUCAAAGCCUUCAAACAUGAAAGAAAAUGCAGAAAAAGAAGCAUUGCCAAGUAAAGCAGCCGCUGAGCCUUCAAAAACCGCUACUAGAAAAUGAAAUGUAGAUACUUCUAAAGCUUCCCCUAGUAAAAGAAUGUUGAGAUUUCUAAGCGUGAUAGGAGUAAAAAGAACAAAGAGCCAUCAAAGUCUAUCAGUAAAAAAAGAACAAGAUCAAAGUCUAGAUUAGUAUACAAACACAUACAUGUUAGUAAAAAAUCUAUUUCAAGGAGGUUAGCAUUAGAGGGUGUUGAUGAGGAGGAGGAAGAAGACUUGGACAUAAAUGCAGCACAAAGUCAAAAGGAAGAACAGGUUUCUAAAAAAGCAAUUGUUGAAGAAGAAAAGGACAGUGAUGAUGAAUCUUUAGGUGUGGAGGAUGAUGAAAGUGGUGAUGAUGCUGGUUGAUAAAGAUGUUGAAGAAGAAAAGGAAGAAGUAGGGAUGACAAAUGAGACGAGGCGGGGCGGUUUUCAGCAUUCACGGGGCGGGGCAGGGCAGGUUACAAUGUUUGCGGGGCGGGGCGGGGCCUAAUUCUUUUAAAAAAAAUUAACGUGGGGCGGGUCGCGGGUCGCGGGUUUUUUAAAACCUAAAUCUUGAACUAAAAGUCUAAAACGCUACCAGAUCCUAAAUCUUGAACUAAAACCUAAAUACCAGAUCCUCCACGCGGGUUCUUUUUGUAUAAUUUUUAUUCAGUUUUUAUUUCAUUGUUCAAGAAGAAAAAAUAUUUUAUUUUUAGAGGACAUUUGAAUUAAAAGAAAAAAGAAAAGAAGAAGACUUAGCAUUUUCAGUAUAUUUGAAAGUCACAAACAAUGAAGUAGUGUAAAUCUUUUAAGAGAUUUUACACUGUUAAAUUUUUUAUCACAACCAGUUUUAUUGUUAAUGUAAUUAUCCAAAAUGUAUCAAUUUUAGUUGAAAAUUUUUUUAUGGCCAUUCAA